GACGAACGCUGGCGGCGGGCUUAACACAUGCAAGUCGAACGGAAAGGCCCUGCUUUCGUGGGGUGCUCGAGUGGCGAACGGGUGAGUAACACGUGAGUAACCUGCCCUUGACUUUGGGAUAACUUCAGGAAACUGGGGCUAAUACCGGAUAGGAGCUCCCGCUGCAUGGUGGGGGUUGGAACGUUUCGGCGGUUGGGGAUGGACUCGCGGCUUAUCAGCUUGUUGGUGGGGUAGUGGCUUACCAAGGCUUUGACGGGUAGCCGGCCUGAGAGGGUGGCCGGCCACAUUGGGACUGAGAUACGGCCCAGACUCCUACGGGAGGCAGCAGUGGGGAAUAUUGCACAAUGGGCGGAAGCCUGAUGCAGCAACGCCGCGUGCGGGAUGACGGCCUUCGGGUUGUAAACCGCUUUCGCCUGUGACGAAGCGUUAGUGACGGUAAUGGGUAAAGAAGCACCGGCUAACUACGUG
RNAcentral lists this ribosomal RNA (468 nucleotides) under uncultured bacterium. Its description in RNAcentral is "partial 16S ribosomal RNA". It matches the Rfam family "Bacterial small subunit ribosomal RNA", at positions 28 to 507 of the family's 1533-position model. The record is from RNAcentral.